Molecule: long non-coding RNA, 614 nt
Filed under: Agrilus planipennis (emerald ash borer)
Lineage: Eukaryota; Metazoa; Arthropoda; Insecta; Coleoptera; Buprestidae
Description: uncharacterized LOC108733520, transcript variant X2
Source: RNAcentral
ACAAUAUAUGACAUACAAUAAGCGAUACAAUUGGUAGCACCGUAAAUUAGGUAACAAAAGAUUAAACCAACUAUUAUCUGUAAUAAUAAACAGUGUGUUGUUAUAAAGCCGGGAAUACAUCUGAAGAACGUUGUCAUCAAUUCGCAUUUGUUUGCGUUUGUUCGUCAAGUGUAUGUACAUGGUCGUUUACAUUUCGGGAAGAUAGAUGGAUUUUACUUUUGUUUUUUAUUAUCAUUGUAGAGAAAGAAUUUAAGUGAAAAUCAGUUAUUAGUGCCAGUGUCUACUACAUAAUUAACAAUAAAAUUAUACAGCGAAGAAAAUGAAAAAAAAAAAGAAGGGCAAACAGACUUAUAUGACAUGGUUACCUACUGAUGUUCAAACAUCAAAGGAUAAUUUGUUCACAUGUGUCACUCUACUUAGAAACGUUUUCGCGAAUGUCUACGAACGAGCUACAAUGAUGGGAAUGUAAACGAAUGCGAAGGAAUGGCAAUGUAUUCCCAACUUUAUUUACGUAUCCGCUUGUACCAUAUGUGCAGGGGCGGAUUUAGUUUAAUAUUCCAGACAAAAAUCUAACAGAUGAACAUGAACAGACCUCCUUAAUUAGAUUAUUUUAG